AGGGAAGUAGCUCAAUGGUAGAGCCCCGGAUUUUGAUUCCGGCGGUUGCUGGUUCAAGUCCAGCCUUCCCUGCCA
This 75-nucleotide transfer RNA is filed under the name Alcanivoracaceae bacterium. RNAcentral describes it as "tRNA-Gln". It matches the Rfam family "tRNA". From Rfam's summary of the family: Transfer RNA (tRNA) molecules are approximately 80 nucleotides in length. Their secondary structure includes four short double-helical elements and three loops (D, anti-codon, and T loops). Further hydrogen bonds mediate the characteristic L-shaped molecular structure. tRNAs have two regions of fundamental functional importance: the anti-codon, which is responsible for specific mRNA codon recognition, and the 3' end, to which the tRNAs corresponding amino acid is attached (by aminoacyl-tRNA synthetases). tRNAs cope with the degeneracy of the genetic code in two manners: having more than one tRNA (with a specific anti-codon) for a particular amino acid; and 'wobble' base-pairing, i.e. permitting non-standard base-pairing at the 3rd anti-codon position. Lineage: Bacteria; Pseudomonadati; Pseudomonadota; Gammaproteobacteria; Oceanospirillales; Alcanivoracaceae. The record is from RNAcentral.